CAAUAGCGUAUAUUAAAGUUGUUGCAGUUAAAAAGCUCGUAGUUGAAUUUCUGGUCAAUUUUAGUUUCGGCUUCGGUCGGUCUAAGGUUGGCCAUCCGUCUGCAAGCUAUUCUCGUCCUUCACUGUGUCGGUUUAGCGAGCUGACAUUUUACUUUGAAAAAUUAGAGUGUUUCAGGCAGGCUUUUGCCCGAAUACAUUAGCAUGGAAUAAUAGAAUAGGACUUUGGUUCUAUUUUGUUGGUUUCUAGGACCGAAGUAAUGAUUAAUAGGGACAGUUGGGGGCAUUAGUAUUUAAUUGUCAGAGGUGAAAUUCUUGGAUUUAUGAAAGACUAACUACUGCGAAAGCAUUUGCCAAGGAUGUUUUCAUUAAUUAAGAACGAAAGUUAGGGGAUCGAAGAUGAUCAGAUACCAU
This 411-nucleotide ribosomal RNA is filed under the name uncultured eukaryote. RNAcentral describes it as "bacterial SSU rRNA". It matches the Rfam family "Eukaryotic small subunit ribosomal RNA", at positions 592 to 1018 of the family's 1831-position model. The record is from RNAcentral.